Molecule: unclassified non-coding RNA, 217 nt
Filed under: uncultured Thelephoraceae
Lineage: Eukaryota; Fungi; Basidiomycota; Agaricomycetes; Thelephorales; Thelephoraceae
Description: sequence contains ITS2
Source: RNAcentral
ACACCUCAACUCUCAUGGUUUGCCAUGAUGAGUUGGACUCUGGGGGUUUUGCUGGCCUGUGGUCGGCUCCUCUCAAAUUAAUCAGCCUCCCAGUGUUUGGUGGCAUCACGGGUGUGAUAAAUAUCUACACUCGCUGUUGUCUGCCAGGUAACCUUUGGUCACAAAGGUUUGCUGGAGCUCACAGAUGUCUCUCCUCAGCGAGGACAGCUUUUUUAAC